GCAAGACUCUACUAAUCCCGCCGCCGCCGCCGGGCCUCGACCACACGUCCUCCUUAAACGUGCCGACGCCGUCCGCGGCGGCGAUGGCCUCACACACAGUGUCCUGCGCCUCCCGUAUCAUCUUCUCGAACCGCGCGCGGACGGAGGUCGGCGACGACGACUCGCGGAGGAAAGUCUCGGGCUUUUCCGUCUCCGGCGUCUCCUUCUCGAUGACGGCGCAUCGGGGAGUGAAAGAGGGGGAGUGGCGGAGGCGCGUGAAGGGCGUGUAGCGCGUGGAGGAGUGGAAGGAGUGGGGAUUGGGGAGGAAGGAAGAGAGCUUUGGAGGUGGGGAGAGGAGG
This 338-nucleotide long non-coding RNA is filed under the name Fragaria vesca (wild strawberry). Its description in RNAcentral is "long non-coding RNA (FVES_LNC003418)". Lineage: Eukaryota; Viridiplantae; Streptophyta; Magnoliopsida; Rosales; Rosaceae. The record is from RNAcentral.